UGAGGAAUAUUGGUCAAUGGGCGUAAGCCUGAACCAGCCAAGUCGCGUGAGGGAUGAAGGUUCUAUGGAUCGUAAACCUCUUUUAUAAGGGAAUAAAGUGCGGGACGUGUCCCGUUUUGUAUGUACCUUAUGAAUAAGGAUCGGCUAACUCCGUGCCAGCAGCCGCGGUAAUACGGAGGAUCCGAGCGUUAUCCGGAUUUAUUGGGUUUAAAGGGAGCGUAGGUGGACAUGUAAGUCAGUUGUGAAAGUUUGCGACUCAACCGUAAAAUUGCAGUUGAAACUGCGUGUCUUGAGUACAGUAGAGGUGGGCGGAAUUCGUGGUGUAGCGGUGAAAUGCUUAGAUAUCACGAAGAACUCCGAUUGCGAAGGCAGCUCACUGGAGUGUAACUGACGCUGAUGCUCGAAAGUGUGGGUAUCAAACAGGAUUAGAUACCCUGGUAGUCCACACAGUAAACGAUGAAUACUCGCUGUUUGCGAUAUACAGUAAGCGGCCAAGCGAAAGCAUUAAGUAUUCCACCUGGGGAGUACGCCGGCAACGGUGAAACUCAAAGGAAUUGACGGGGGCCCGCACAAGCGGAGGAACAUGUGGUUUAAUUCGAUGAUACGCGAGGAACCUUACCCGGGCUUAAAUUGCAAAUGAAUUAUGGGGAAACCCAUACGCCGCAAGGCAUUUGUGAAGGUGCUGCAUGGUUGUCGUCAGCUCGUGCCGUGAGGUGUCGGCUUAAGUGCCAUAACGAGCGCAACCCUUAUCUUCAGUUACUAACAGGUCAUGCUGAGGACUCUGGAGAGACUGCCGUCGUAAGAUGUGAGGAAGGUGGGGAUGACGUCAAAUCAGCACGGCCCUUACGUCCGGGGCUACACACGUGUUACAAUGGGGGGUACAGAAGGCCGCUACCUGGUGACAGGAUGCCAAUCCCAAAAACCUCUCUCAGUUCGGAUCGAAGUCUGCAACCCGACUUCGUGAAGCUGGAUUCGCUAGUAAUCGCGCAUCAGCCAUGGCGCGGUGAAUACGUUCCC
This 1017-nucleotide ribosomal RNA is filed under the name uncultured bacterium. RNAcentral describes it as "bacterial SSU rRNA". It matches the Rfam family "Bacterial small subunit ribosomal RNA", at positions 355 to 1375 of the family's 1533-position model. The record is from RNAcentral.